AGCGUACACGGUGGAUGCCCUGGCAGUCAGAGGCGAUGAAGGACGUGCUAAUCUGCGAUAAGCGUCGGUAAGGUGAUAUGAACCGUUAUAACCGGCGAUUUCCGAAUGGGGAAACCCAGUGUGUUUCGACACACUAUCAUUAACUGAAUCCAUAGGUUAAUGAGGCGAACCGGGGGAACUGAAACAUCUAAGUACCCCGAGGAAAAGAAAUCAACCGAGAUUCCCCCAGUAGCGGCGAGCGAACGGGGAGCAGCCCAGAGCCUGAAUCAGUGUGUGUGUUAGUGGAAGCGUCUGGAAAGGCGCGCGAUACAGGGUGACAGCCCCGUACACAAAAAUGCACAUGCUGUGAGCUCGAUGAGUAGGGCGGGACACGUGGUAUCCUGUCUGAAUAUGGGGGGACCAUCCUCCAAGGCUAAAUACUCCUGACUGACCGAUAGUGAACCAGUACCGUGAGGGAAAGGCGAAAAGAACCCCGGCGAGGGGAGUGAAAAAGAACCUGAAACCGUGUACGUACAAGCAGUGGGAGCACGCUUAGGCGUGUGACUGCGUACCUUUUGUAUAAUGGGUCAGCGACUUAUAUUCUGUAGCAAGGUUAACCGAAUAGGGGAGCCGAAGGGAAACCGAGUCUUAACUGGGCGUUAAGUUGCAGGGUAUAGACCCGAAACCCGGUGAUCUAGCCAUGGGCAGGUUGAAGGUUGGGUAACACUAACUGGAGGACCGAACCGACUAAUGUUGAAAAAUUAGCGGAUGACUUGUGGCUGGGGGUGAAAGGCCAAUCAAACCGGGAGAUAGCUGGUUCUCCCCGAAAGCUAUUUAGGUAGCGCCUCGUGAAUUCAUCUCCGGGGGUAGAGCACUGUUUCGGCAAGGGGGUCAUCCCGACUUACCAACCCGAUGCAAACUGCGAAUACCGGAGAAUGUUAUCACGGGAGACACACGGCGGGUGCUAACGUCCGUCGUGAAGAGGGAAACAACCCAGACCGCCAGCUAAGGUCCCAAAGUCAUGGUUAAGUGGGAAACGAUGUGGGAAGGCCCAGACAGCCAGGAUGUUGGCUUAGAAGCAGCCAUCAUUUAAAGAAAGCGUAAUAGCUCACUGGUCGAGUCGGCCUGCGCGGAAGAUGUAACGGGGCUAAACCAUGCACCGAAGCUGCGGCAGCGACGCUUAUGCGUUGUUGGGUAGGGGAGCGUUCUGUAAGCCUGUGAAGGUGUGCUGUGAGGCAUGCUGGAGGUAUCAGAAGUGCGAAUGCUGACAUAAGUAACGAUAAAGCGGGUGAAAAGCCCGCUCGCCGGAAGACCAAGGGUUCCUGUCCAACGUUAAUCGGGGCAGGGUGAGUCGACCCCUAAGGCGAGGCCGAAAGGCGUAGUCGAUGGGAAACAGGUUAAUAUUCCUGUACUUGGUGUUACUGCGAAGGGGGGACGGAGAAGGCUAUGUUGGCCGGGCGACGGUUGUCCCGGUUUAAGCGUGUAGGCUGGUUUUCCAGGCAAAUCCGGAAAAUCAAGGCUGAGGCGUGAUGACGAGGCACUACGGUGCUGAAGCAACAAAUGCCCUGCUUCCAGGAAAAGCCUCUAAGCAUCAGGUAACAUCAAAUCGUACCCCAAACCGACACAGGUGGUCAGGUAGAGAAUACCAAGGCGCUUGAGAGAACUCGGGUGAAGGAACUAGGCAAAAUGGUGCCGUAACUUCGGGAGAAGGCACGCUGAUAUGUAGGUGAAGCGACUUGCUCGUGGAGCUGAAAUCAGUCGAAGAUACCAGCUGGCUGCAACUGUUUAUUAAAAACACAGCACUGUGCAAACACGAAAGUGGACGUAUACGGUGUGACGCCUGCCCGGUGCCGGAAGGUUAAUUGAUGGGGUCAGCGCAAGCGAAGCUCUUGAUCGAAGCCCCGGUAAACGGCGGCCGUAACUAUAACGGUCCUAAGGUAGCGAAAUUCCUUGUCGGGUAAGUUCCGACCUGCACGAAUGGCGUAAUGAUGGCCAGGCUGUCUCCACCCGAGACUCAGUGAAAUUGAACUCGCUGUGAAGAUGCAGUGUACCCGCGGCAAGACGGAAAGACCCCGUGAACCUUUACUAUAGCUUGACACUGAACAUUGAGCCUUGAUGUGUAGGAUAGGUGGGAGGCUUUGAAGUGUGGACGCCAGUCUGCAUGGAGCCGACCUUGAAAUACCACCCUUUAAUGUUUGAUGUUCUAACGUUGACCCGUAAUCCGGGUUGCGGACAGUGUCUGGUGGGUAGUUUGACUGGGGCGGUCUCCUCCUAAAGAGUAACGGAGGAGCACGAAGGUUGGCUAAUCCUGGUCGGACAUCAGGAGGUUAGUGCAAUGGCAUAAGCCAGCUUGACUGCGAGCGUGACGGCGCGAGCAGGUGCGAAAGCAGGUCAUAGUGAUCCGGUGGUUCUGAAUGGAAGGGCCAUCGCUCAACGGAUAAAAGGUACUCCGGGGAUAACAGGCUGAUACCGCCCAAGAGUUCAUAUCGACGGCGGUGUUUGGCACCUCGAUGUCGGCUCAUCACAUCCUGGGGCUGAAGUAGGUCCCAAGGGUAUGGCUGUUCGCCAUUUAAAGUGGUACGCGAGCUGGGUUUAGAACGUCGUGAGACAGUUCGGUCCCUAUCUGCCGUGGGCGCUGGAGAAUUGAGGGGGGCUGCUCCUAGUACGAGAGGACCGGAGUGGACGCAUCACUGGUGUUCGGGUUGUCAUGCCAAUGGCACUGCCCGGUAGCUAAAUGCGGAAGAGAUAAGUGCUGAAAGCAUCUAAGCACGAAACUUGCCCCGAGAUGAGUUCUCCCUGACUCCUUGA
Molecule: ribosomal RNA, 2787 nt
Filed under: Escherichia coli
Lineage: Bacteria; Pseudomonadati; Pseudomonadota; Gammaproteobacteria; Enterobacterales; Enterobacteriaceae
Description: bacterial LSU rRNA
Rfam family: Bacterial large subunit ribosomal RNA
Source: RNAcentral